GGGGCUGACCGGUUUUGACAGCAGGGAAGUAGCCUUGUAAGCAUGCCGAGUUUCGGUACAGGGGUCUCGAUAAAACUUCUGUGCAAGCCAUAAUAACUGGCGACUAUCAAUAUCAGAUGGCUGCUUAAUUUUAGAAAUUAAGCGCCUUUGUCUCCCGGGAAACCUUUCUCAGCGGUGUUCCGGAUGAGGCAUCAAAAAAGUUGAGAUAGGUGUGGUGAGGUUCCGGCAUCACAGCGAAAUAAAGGAACUACGGACCGGAUAGGCUGGCCGCUGGCCGGUUUGGUCCCUACAAUCAACCAGCGGAUAAGCAUGUAGAAAGCACCGAUGCUACCUGUUUGGACGAGGGUUCGAAUCCCUCCAGCUCCACAA
This 369-nucleotide transfer-messenger RNA is filed under the name Bacteroidales. RNAcentral describes it as "QYOJ01 sp016926765 Standard tmRNA". It matches the Rfam family "transfer-messenger RNA". From Rfam's summary of the family: Bacterial tmRNA, also known as 10Sa RNA or SsrA, is named for its dual tRNA and mRNA-like properties. Its role is to liberate the mRNA from a stalled ribosome. Lineage: Bacteria; Pseudomonadati; Bacteroidota; Bacteroidia. RNAcentral also lists the same sequence under 1 other name. The record is from RNAcentral.